Molecule: ribosomal RNA, 426 nt
Filed under: Corynebacterium diphtheriae
Lineage: Bacteria; Bacillati; Actinomycetota; Actinomycetes; Mycobacteriales; Corynebacteriaceae
Description: bacterial LSU rRNA
Rfam family: Bacterial large subunit ribosomal RNA (bases 1-334)
Source: RNAcentral
GAGCGAACGCGGAUGGGGCUAAACCGUAUGUGUGUGAUACCCGGCAGGGGUUGCAUGUGCGGUGUUGUGGGCCCCUCCUUGUCAUGUCUGCCGGCAUGGCGCAGUGAGGUGCGGGCAUAUAGACGAACAGUGUGGAUGCUGGACCGUAGAGGGUGAGAGUCCCGUAGUCGAAAUGUGUUCCGCCGCUGUUGGAGGGUUGCCCGAGUAGCACGGGGCCCGAGGAAUCCCGUGUGAAUCUGCCAGGACCACCUGGUAAGCCUGAAUACUACCUGUUGACCGAUAGCGGAUCAGUACCGUGAGGGAAUGGUGAAAAGUACCCCGGGAGGGGAGCGAACGCGGAUGGGGCUAAACCGUAUGUGUGUGAUACCCGGCAGGGGUUGCAUGUGCGGUGUUGUGGGCCCCUCCUUGUCAUGUCUGCCGGCAUGG